AUGGCAGGAAAAGUAUUUAGAAAGUUUCUUCCACUCUUUGACCAAGUAUUGGUUGAAAGAAGCGCAACCGAAACUGUAACCAAGGGAGGCAUUAUGCUUCCAGAAAAAUCUCAGGGAAAGGUAUUGCAAGCGACAGUAGUGGCCAUUGGCUAGGGCGCCAAAGGAAAUGGUGGGGAGAUUCAACCAGUUAGUAUGAAAGUUGGAGAUAAAGUUCUUCUCCCAGAAUAUGGAGGCACCAAAGUAGUUCUAGACGACAAGGAUUAUUUCUUAUUUAGAGAUGGUGACAUUCUUGGAAAGUAUGUGGACUGAAGCAAAACGCUGUUGAAAUGGCAUCAACAUGAAACUGCCCAUUCCACUGAAGUUGUGAAAUUUUUCAUCAUGUAAAUAAUUUUCGUGUUUUUCUUUUAUAAUAAACUAAUGAUAUCUAAACUAAAAAAAAAAAAA
Carlito syrichta (Philippine tarsier) is the source of this 444-nucleotide RNA transcript. It is a transcript of the gene named 10 kDa heat shock protein, mitochondrial pseudogene, with no coding region annotated. The transcript has a single exon. NCBI's taxonomy places the organism in Eukaryota, Metazoa, Chordata, Mammalia, Primates, Tarsiidae. The record is from RefSeq and is a predicted model, not a curated record.